Molecule: ribosomal RNA, 269 nt
Filed under: uncultured prokaryote
Description: partial 16S ribosomal RNA
Rfam family: Bacterial small subunit ribosomal RNA
Source: RNAcentral
GACGGGGGGAGCAAGCGUUGUUCGGAUUUACUGGGCGUAAAGGGCGUCUAGGCGGAUCGGCAAGUCAGGUGUGAAAUCCCCCGGCUCAACCGGGGAACUGCACUUGAAACUGCUGAUCUUGAGUACGGAAGAGGGAAGCGGAAUUCCUGGUGUAGCGGUGAAAUGCGUAGAUAUCAGGAGGAACAUCGGUGGCGAAGGCGGCUUCCUGGUCCGAUACUGACGCUAAAGCGCGAAAGUGUGGGUAGCAAACAGGAUUAGAUACCCCAGUA